RNA transcript from Mirounga angustirostris (Northern elephant seal), 5138 nucleotides. It is a transcript of the gene named poly(ADP-ribose) polymerase family member 8, with no coding region annotated. The record is from RefSeq and is a predicted model, not a curated record. The transcript is spliced from 28 exons. Lineage: Eukaryota; Metazoa; Chordata; Mammalia; Carnivora; Phocidae.
AGUCUUCACUACCUACAUUCCCACUCAGCCCCUGGCGCGAGCGGCGGCCGGGGCGGGGACGCCCAGCCUGCGCCCGGGAUGGCGGAUACUAUUCACACCCCGGCGGCCGGGACCCGGUGACUGGGCGCGGGAGGGUCUGCAGCGGGCGGCGCUGCAGCAGCCUCCGCACGGCCGCCGCCGCCCGCGGGCGCGAGUGUGCGCGGGUGUGGAAGGCCGGCGUGCGGGCCGCGAGGGGUGUGCGCGCGUGAGGCGGAGCGGGGCUCGCCCCUCGCCGGCGCCCGCCGCCCCGCCGGUGAUCGCUCUCCGGCCGUCUCCAGCACCCUUGGCCCCCCACGGCCGUUGGUCGGGGCGGGGGAGGGAGAAAGUGAGACUCGGUGUCAUCACCAUCCAUUGUCAGGAGGGGAGGAAACUGGAAUCCAGCAGUGGCGAGCAGCAGCUGGGCGGUCACAUCUGGGAAUGCAAAGCCGACCUCCCCCCCCUCCUCCUCCUCCACCACCUCCUCCUCUUUCACCCAGGAUCACUUCCGAAACCACUUCGCCUUCAGCCCCUGCCUCGGCCAGAGGGAUUUAUUUAAUGGGGAUGUGUUCAAGGCAAGAGCGAAUUCAGAAGGAUAUCGACGUCGUGAUCCAGAAGUCCAGAGCCGAGAAGGACUGCCUGUUUGCAGAUUUCAGAUACUCAGAUUCCACCUUUACUUUCACCUACGUUGGCGGCCCCAAAAGUGUAUCCUAUUCAGUACAUGUAUCUGAAGAUUACCCAGAUAAUACAUACGUGUCAAGUUCAGAAAAUGAUGAAGAUGUAUUAGUUACUACAGAGCCAAUUCCAGUAAUUUUUCAUCGAAUAGCAACAGAAUUAAGGAAGACAAAUGACACUAACUGUUGCUUAUCCAUAAAAUCCAAAUUACAGAAGGAAAAUGGAGAGGAGUCAAGACAAAAUAGUACAGUGGAAGAAGAUUCUGAAGGUGAUAAUGAUUCUGAAGAAUUUUAUUAUGGAGGACAGGUGAACUAUGACGGGGAACUGCGCAAGCACCCCCAGCUUGAGGCUGAUCUGUCGGCAGUGAGAGAGCUAUACGGGCCGCAUGCAGUUUCUCUCAGGGAAUACGGAGCCAUUGAUGAUGUAGAUAUUGAUCUGCAUAUUGAUGUUAGCUUUCUGGAUGAGGAGAUUGCUGUGGCUUGGGAAGUGAUUCGAACAGAACCUAUAAUUGUCCGACUACACUGUUCCCUUACACAGUAUUUAAAUGGCCCAGUGCCCACUGUUGAUGUCUUUCAGAUUUCUACAAAAGAGCGAUUUGGAUUGGGACAUCAGCUGAAAAAGAUCAUGCAGACAUUCGUUACACAGCAGUGGAAACAGAGCAAAGAGAAAUCCAGUUGCCUGCACAAUAAGAAGCUGUCAGAGAAGAAGGUGAAAUCUCCCCUGCAUUUAUUUUCUACCUUGCGCAGGUCGCCAAGUUAUCCUCCCCCUGGUUGUGGUAAAAGCAAAUCCAAACUGAAAUCUGAGCAAGAUGGAAUUUCCAAAACGCAUAAGCUGCUGCGGAGGACUUGUUCCAGUACGGUCAAGACCGACGACGUGUGCGCCACCAAGUCGCACAGGACCUUUGGUCGCUCCCUGUCCAGCGACCCCAGGGCUGAGCAGGCGGUGGCGGCCAUUAAGUCGCACAAACUUUUGAACCGGCCCUGCCCGGCAGCUGUCAAGCAAGAGGACUGCCUCACUCUGAAGUCGCACAAACUGUUGACUCGGUCCUGUUCUGGAGACCCGCGAUGCGAGCACAACACCAACCUGAAGCCUCACAAACUGUUAAGCAGAUCUUACUCCAGUAAUCUCAGAAUGGAAGAGCUGUAUGGACUGAAAAACCACAAGCUGCUCAGCAAGUCUUACUCCAGUGCUCCCAAGUCAUCCAAGACGGAGCUCUUCAAGGAACCUAACGCAGAGGGCAGGAGGCUCUCUCUGACCUCAGGGCUUAUCGGUAUCUUAACACCGUCUUCAUCGUCAUCUUCCCAGCCUGCUCCAAAUGGUGCCAAAUGCAUUCCAAUACGAGACCGCGGCUUCCUAGUGCAGACAAUUGAGUUUGCUGAACAGCGGAUCCCUGUAUUGAAUGAAUACUGUGUGGUUUGUGAUGAGCCACAUGUCUUUCAAAAUGGCCCCAUGCUUAGGCCCACUGUGUGUGAGCGAGAGCUGUGUGUGUUUGCUUUUCAAACCCUGGGAGUAAUGAACGAAGCUGCUGAUGAGAUAGCAACUGGAGCUCAGGUGGUAGAUCUACUAGUAUCCAUGUGUAGGUCUGCACUGGAAUCUCCUAGAAAAGUUGUCAUUUUCGAGCCAUAUCCUUCUGUGGUGGAUCCUAACGAUCCUCAGAUGCUGGCCUUCAACCCCAGGAAGAAGAACUAUGAUCGAGUAAUGAAAGCACUGGAUAGCAUAACUUCUAUUAGAGAAAUGACACAAGCACCAUAUCUGGAAAUCAAGAAGCAGAUGGAUAAACAAGACCCCCUUGCUCAUCCCCUACUGCAAUGGGUUAUUUCAAGUAAUAGGUCACAUAUUGUGAAACUGCCAGUUAACAGGCAACUGAAGUUUAUGCACACUCCACAUCAAUUCCUUCUUCUCAGCAGUCCACCAGCCAAAGAAUCUAAUUUUAGAGCUGCUAAAAAACUCUUUGGAAGCACCUUUGCAUUUCAUGGCUCACACAUUGAAAACUGGCACUCUAUCCUGAGGAAUGGUCUGGUUGUUGCUUCUAAUACUAGACUGCAGCUCCACGGUGCAAUGUAUGGGAGUGGAAUCUAUCUUAGUCCAAUGUCAAGCAUAUCUUUUGGUUACUCAGGGAUGAACAAGAAGCAGAAGGUGACAGCCAAAGAUGAGCCGGCGUCCAGCAGUAAAAGCAACAGUGCAUCACAGUCACAGAAAAAAGGACAGCAGUCCCAAUUCCUGCAGAGCCGUAACUUAAAAUGCAUAGCCUUAUGUGAAGUGAUCACCUCACCUGACCUGCACAAACAUGGAGAGAUAUGGGUCGUCCCAAAUACUGAUCAUGUCUGCACACGAUUCUUUUUUGUGAGAAUUUUAAUGUGGUGAGGAAAAGGCAGUGGUGCGCAUAAAUCUUUGAGACCGCUUACACCCAUGGUUAUCUAUUUUGAAGUAAUUACCACUUCUCGAAAGCUUCUGUCUUGAAGUCAUUUUUACGAAGUAAAAUUAAUUCAUCACCUGUUCUACUUCUGAAUCUUAUCACGGAAGUUUAAAAAUUCAUUCUUGGAAAAUUCUUUUUGCCCAACUAUGAAGAUGGUCAGGUUGGAGAUGCGAAUAUUAACACACAAGAAGGAGGCAUUCACAAAGAGAUCCUUCGAGUAAUUGGUAAUCAAACUGCUACUGGUUAAAGGACCAUCAUUUAAUUAACAUGAUCUGAAAGCCUUCCUCGGGUUCAAAGCUGGAUUUUGAACUGAAGAAGAUGAUAAAAUAAUUUAUUGUUAUUAUAAACAAAAGUAACCCUUUGAAUACUGAUUUUUUUCUUAGUAUUUCUAAGUAUCUUAUUAAAUACCUAGAAUGGUAUAAAAUUGAUCAAUUGUAGGGUUAUGGAAUCUAGUAAUAAAAUUACAACAGCACUUAAACUGAAGUUUGGGUUGCUCACACAAUAAACAGAUUGAAAAAACAGUUUUGUGCUGAUAUUUUUAUAUUAAACUCUUUAAUUGGAAAUUUGGUAUUAUAUACCGACAUUUUAGGUUACCAAAAUAGAACUGAGAACAUUUUAUAAUGACGUCUAAUCUAUACAGUACUUUGCAAUAAGUAUGUUUGCACAUUCUGGUGUGCUAUUUAAUUAGUGGUAUGAACAUUCAAAUGUUUUGGGGAGGGAUAUUUCCUAUUCUCCUGUUAUUUUUUUCUUAUACAAAAACAAUUAGGUCUUAGAUGCAGUGCUUUGCCCAAGAGUAUGUAAUGUAUAUAUCUAUAGAUUGAUGCAUCAAAAUGUGUGAUCGUGCAAUUAUGUGUGUAUAUGCACAUAUAUGUGCUUUGACAACAGAGAUAGCACGGCUCCACGAUUCUAUGCUCAUUUGAUGAAAAGAAAAUAAUAUUCAGUAAGCAGUAAAUCUGGACAUAAACCAAGACAUGAGUCAAAUGUACCACCAUUCAUUCACUGAAGAUAUUUAGAAACAAUUUUUCUGUUUGUUUAAAUAAUUUCCCCUUCAGUUAGAAUUCAACUCUUUUAUAAUGUUAUCUAACAGUUAUAAUUUGGGGAACACAGAUGCCCCAGGUGGACUAAUUCUAUAUUCAAAUGAUUAUAUGUUUAAAAGAAGGGCCUCAGAAUUUAAACAAACGGUAUAUAUUUUUUAUUUCCUACAAUGGAACAUUUUUAAAAUUUAUUUAUACCACACCAGCAUUUUUUGUAUUUUUUCAUCUAAUACCUCUGCUUAUUUUUUUUCGUAUUGAGAAAGAAGACAAACGUUGAAGUUUCUUUUAUAUUAAAAGAACACAAAUAAGUUUAUAGAGAAUAAUAACACCAGCUCUUAGCAUUUUCCUUUCAAGAGUCCUGUGCUCAUCAAACUCAUUUCUGUUUCUUUGGGUCCUAAAGUUAUUCUUAUUCAUCAUAAGUUUUGGACAGUGUUUAUUUUCCUACAUGAUGUCUUUGGAAUAAGGCCAUUCAUGAGAGCAGUUUAAUUAGCAAGUCUACCACUCUGUUCAAACCCUGAGUCAUUAGGCUCUUAUCUGAUUCUAAUUUAUUUAGAAAGAAAAAAUAAAUAAAAAUGUUUAGUCAUUUGCAAAUAUAAUGUUAUAACUUCUGUGUUUAUUUCCUUUGGCAUAAAAGGGGAGCACAAAGGUCAUACUCAUUGUUAAGGGUUGCUAUCUAAGAAGUAUUUGCUAAUUGUUUGUUUUCUUGUAUUGUAAAUAAUUGAUAUGCCACUUAUUUCUGCAAAAAUAGUCUUAAAGUGGAUGGGAUAUUAAUCAUUGUGAUAGGAUCCACUUAAAACAUUGAUCUGUUCUGAUUUGUGCCUCUGAACUCAAAAGCCAGACUGAGGGAUCGUGUUGCAUGGUAGGGCCAAGCUAUAGUAUCUUACUUAGUGUUCUGUGACCAGAUACUUGAAGACUUCACAUGGGACAAGAGGACGACUUGCUUUUUUUCUGUCAAGAUUCCCCAAGUCUUCCAAAAACCUUUGACUGGGUUUUAAAAA